UACGUAGGCAGCGAGCGUUGUUCGGAGUUACUGGGCGUAAAGAGUAUGUAGGCGGUUCUGCAAGUUUGGUGUGAAAUCUCCCGGCUUAACUGGGAGGGAGCGCCGAAAACUACAGGGCUUGAGUGCGGGAGAGGAGAGCGGAAUUCCUGGUGUAGCGGUGAAAUGCGUAGAUAUCAGGAGGAACACCGGCGGUGUAGACGGCUCUCUGGGCCGCGACUGACGCUGAGAUACGAAAGCGUGGGGAGCAAACAGG
This 253-nucleotide ribosomal RNA is filed under the name uncultured bacterium. Its description in RNAcentral is "partial 16S ribosomal RNA". It matches the Rfam family "Bacterial small subunit ribosomal RNA", at positions 524 to 776 of the family's 1533-position model. The record is from RNAcentral.